This 465-nucleotide ribosomal RNA is filed under the name uncultured bacterium. RNAcentral's name for it is "partial 16S ribosomal RNA". It matches the Rfam family "Bacterial small subunit ribosomal RNA", at positions 28 to 507 of the family's 1533-position model. The record is from RNAcentral.
GACGAACGCUGGCGGCGUGCUUAACACAUGCAAGUCGUACGGUAAGGCCCUUUCGGGGGUACACGAGUGGCGAACGGGUGAGUAACACGUGAGUAACCUGCCCACAACUUUGGGAUAACGCUAGGAAACUGGUGCUAAUACUGGAUAUGUUCUCCUGCUGCAUGGUGGGGGUUGGAAAGCUCCGGCGGUUGUGGAUGGACUCGCGGCCUAUCAGCUUGUUGGUGGGGUAGUGGCCUACCAAGGCGGCGACGGGUAGCCGGCCUGAGAGGGUGACCGGCCACAUUGGGACUGAGAUACGGCCCAGACUCCUACAGGAGGCAGCAGUGGGGAAUAUUGCACAAUGGGCGCAAGCCUGAUGCAGCAACGCCGCGUGCGGGAUGACGGCCUUCGGGUUGUAAACCGCUUUCAGCAGGGACGAAGCUUUUUGUGACGGUACCUGCAGAAGAAGCACCGGCUAACUACGUG